GAUGAACGCUGGCGGCGUGCCUAAUACAUGCAAGUCGAGCGAACGGACGAGAAGCUUGCUUCUCUGAUGUUAGCGGCGGACGGGUGAGUAACACGUGGAUAACCUACCUAUAAGACUGGGAUAACUUCGGGAAACCGGAGCUAAUACCGGAUAAUAUUUUGAACCGCAUGGUUCAAAAGUGAAAGACGGUCUUGCUGUCACUUAUAGAUGGAUCCGCGCUGCAUUAGCUAGUUGGUAAGGUAACGGCUUACCAAGGCAACGAUGCAUAGCCGACCUGAGAGGGUGAUCGGCCACACGGGAACUGGGACACGGUCCAGACUCCUACGGGAGGCAGCAGUAGGGAAUCUUCCGCAAUGGGCGAAAGCCUGACGGGCAACGCCGCGUGAGUGAUGAAGGUCUUCGGAUCGUAAAACUCUGUUAUUAGGGAAGAACAUAUGUGUAAGUAACUGUGCACAUCUUGACGGUACCUAAUCAGAAAGCCACGGCUAACUACGUG
Molecule: ribosomal RNA, 496 nt
Filed under: uncultured bacterium
Lineage: Bacteria
Description: partial 16S ribosomal RNA
Rfam family: Bacterial small subunit ribosomal RNA
Source: RNAcentral